This 165-nucleotide ribosomal RNA is filed under the name uncultured bacterium. RNAcentral describes it as "partial 16S rRNA". It matches the Rfam family "Bacterial small subunit ribosomal RNA", at positions 355 to 511 of the family's 1533-position model. The record is from RNAcentral.
UAGGGAAUCUUCGGCAAUGGGGGCAACCCUGACCGAGCAACGCCGCGUGAGUGAAGAAGGUUUUCGGAUCGUAAAGCUCUGUUGUAAGAGAAGAACGUGUGUGAGAGUGGAAAGUUCACACAGUGACGGUAGCUUACCAGAAAGGGACGGCUAACUACGUGCUAG